This 480-nucleotide ribosomal RNA is filed under the name Blastocystis sp. RNAcentral's name for it is "SSU rRNA". It matches the Rfam family "Eukaryotic small subunit ribosomal RNA", at positions 460 to 953 of the family's 1831-position model. Lineage: Eukaryota; Bigyra; Opalinata; Blastocystidae. The record is from RNAcentral.
GGAGGUAGUGACAAUAAAUCACAAUGCGGAACUUCUGUUUUGCAAUUGGAUUGAGAACAACGCACAACACUUAUCGAUAAACAAUUGGAGGGCAAGUCUGGUGCCAGCAGCCGCGGUAACUCCAGCUCCAAUAGCGUAUAUUAACGUUGUUGCAGUUAAAAAGCUCGUAGUUGAAGUGAAGUGUGAACCUUCUGGAUUUUCGUUUGAAUUUCUUGCUGGUUCGCACUCUUUCCAAAUAGUUUGCAUGGGUAUUCACUUAUCUGUGUAUUGCAUUUGGUCAUUUACUGUAAGAAAAUUAGAGUGUUCAAAGCAUACGUUUGUUUGAAUACAUUAGCAUGGAAUAAUUCGAAAAGGCUUUCAUGUUCGAUUUGAUUGGUUUGUUCGUGAAGGCAAGAUUAAAAGGGACAGUUGGGGGUAUUCAUAUUCAAUAGUCAGAGGUGAAAUUCUCGGAUUUAUGGAAGAUGAACAAGUGCGAAAGCA